This 82-nucleotide transfer RNA is filed under the name Lachnospiraceae bacterium. RNAcentral's name for it is "tRNA-Leu". It matches the Rfam family "tRNA". From Rfam's summary of the family: Transfer RNA (tRNA) molecules are approximately 80 nucleotides in length. Their secondary structure includes four short double-helical elements and three loops (D, anti-codon, and T loops). The record is from RNAcentral. RNAcentral also lists the same sequence under 1 other name. Lineage: Bacteria; Bacillati; Bacillota; Clostridia; Lachnospirales; Lachnospiraceae.
GCGGACGUGGCGGAAUUGGCAGACGCGCAGGAUUUAGGUUCCUGUGCCGCAAGGCGUGAGGGUUCAAGUCCCUUCGUCCGCA